RNAcentral lists this ribosomal RNA (253 nucleotides) under uncultured bacterium. Its description in RNAcentral is "partial 16S ribosomal RNA". It matches the Rfam family "Bacterial small subunit ribosomal RNA", at positions 524 to 776 of the family's 1533-position model. The record is from RNAcentral.
UACAGAGGGUGCGAGCGUUGUCCGGAAUCACUGGGCGUAAAGGGCGCGUAGGUGGCGACCCAAGUCUGUGGUGAAAGCUCGUCGCUCAACGGCGAGUCGGCCACGGAGACUGGGUGGCUUGAGCACUGUAGGGGCUAAUGGAAUUCCGGGUGUAGCGGUGGAAUGCGUAGAGAUCCGGAAGAACACCAGUGGCGAAGGCGGUUAGCUGGGCAGUUGCUGACACUGAGGCGCGACAGCGUGGGGAGCAAACAGG